Hemicordylus capensis (graceful crag lizard) is the source of this 511-nucleotide long non-coding RNA. RefSeq lists it as uncharacterized. The transcript has 3 exons. The record is from RefSeq and is a predicted model, not a curated record. NCBI's taxonomy places the organism in Eukaryota, Metazoa, Chordata, Lepidosauria, Squamata, Cordylidae.
AGCCAUGGCAAAGCCCGGGUUCAAGCUCAAUGAACUAUUUACACAGAGGUGGAAACUAGCAGCAAAGUAAUAAGCUUGUUGUGCAGAAAGAUGCAGCAGAGUGACAGGUGAUAAUGAACUUAUGCAGUCCAAGUGCAGAGAUCACGAGUAUAUCAUAAAAAGAAAAAGAAAAACCUAGUCAGCUAAGCAGAUUAUGAGCCCUACAGUGAAAAAGAGUAGCUGAGAGAUGCAGAAGUCUUGAGAAUAUUAUGCUGAAGCCAAGUGCCGGCAGGAGAGAUUGUGCAAAUGAGUUUGGAGAAUAGCUUGCUGCUUCUUCCAACUGUAAUGGUCAAACUUAUGACCUAGAAGAGGAAGGGGUAAAAAAAACCUUACCCAUACUUCUGCUUUUCCUAACAUAUUUGUGCUCUGCAUUUUUAAGUUCGGCCAAUUCUUACAUUCAAUCUAAAAACCACAGUUUCAGUACUUUUAACACAGGACUGAGUCUCACGUGGAUCAUCAAAGUCAUAUAGUU